Long non-coding RNA from Cyprinus carpio (common carp), 1773 nucleotides. The record is from Ensembl. Lineage: Eukaryota; Metazoa; Chordata; Actinopteri; Cypriniformes; Cyprinidae.
ACAGGUCCAUCAUGCACUGCGCAGUCGGAUCUACUGAUUGAUUGGUGACAUCCAUCAGCGGAUCCCGUGUGUCUCCAGCAUUUUAUGAAUGUGGGAUCUCUAGCUGGAGAGACGAAAUGGCUUCAAGUGGGAGGCCGUUGGCGGACCUGUUGCGCGAUGUGGCUGACCAGCUCGAAAGAACAUCGGGUGGUUCAUCAAAUUCAUCACCUCAGCCGCCAGAUAGGCCUAAUGUUAACGUUACACCCACCGUUACACCCAGACACCCAGUGGACGCCGAGGUUUCAAGACUGUUUGGCCCAUACGCAUGUGGAGGGAGAAGGUUGACAAUGCGGCGAUCCACUGCUGCACCCGUACAACUUCACUCAUACACCCAUUUAUUCUGUUGUCUUGACGAUAAAAACGUGGAGUUAGUCCCCAAUCGAUGUGUUAAACAGAGGCUCGCUGCUGCAGGGUUAGGGGAGAAACGUCUUACAUUUCAAGGUAUUCAGACAAAUCCAGAGGAGUUCAGAGAAUUCCUUUUAGCGGCAUAUCCUAAGCUCAGACAGGGGGGAGGAUUUGAACUGCUAAAAAUAUCUGGAACAACUCGGAGUCGUGAACUGGUCCUCAUCCCCUGUCCCAGUGAUGGCUACCAUGUCCGAUAUCUAAAGGAACCACAAACUCAGAUUGGUCAUGCAACAAUUUUUAUCCGACCACUUCAGAGGAAUCUGAAUCUGGAUCCUAUAUGUGGACCAGAAUGCAGCAGUGAGCUGGUUGGGCCAGUCCAGAAAUGUGUGACUUGUGGAGAAGAAUUCUCUUUUUCAAGUAUUAAGGCUCAUAGUGAUGAAUGCAUGAGGAGAUCCAGCAAUUGGUGAUGGCGUGACUCGCCAUUUCUUUGCAACAAUCAUGUCCAAACUUCAGCAUGGUUUUGAUGUCAGUUUUGGUAAGCUAACAUUUAUUUUUAUUUGAUCCAUUUAUUUCACACUUUUUAUGAUGCAUUCCUUCCCUGUAAAUCUGAUGGUGCUUGUUUAUCAGCCCUGCCUGAUACCAAAGAGGUACAUGUGAAUAUAGCCAUUGCUUUCUUAAUAGACUGCAAGAUAAAGUUACCUUUAGUAUCCAGUGGCUAGUACCAAUGCUGUACAUAGCAUAAUAUCCUUAUUCUUUACAUUACCUUCUAUGUGGUGUGACUUUUCUUUUUCAUUGUAAGGGCCAGGGGGAACUCUUCUGUUUGAGGGUGAAAAAGAUCAUUUGAUUCCCUCCACUUCCCACUUCCUUCUGGAGAGCGACUUUUUUGUUGUUGCUGGCCGAAUGAUUGGUCAUUCAUUCUUACAUGAUGGGCCAUGUCUCGGUGGACUGAGCCUGGCAAUCCUACAUGUGCUCUUUAAUGGUUCCCCAGAAGAAGCCACAAUAGAUAUUAAGGACUGUGCUGACCUUGAUAUCUGUGAGACAAUUAAGUUGGUAUGAUUACUUUUUUUCCAAAACAUUUUAAUGAUAUGUGAGAUAGCUAAAAUACUAUCUAUGGUGGCCCUGUUUUUAUUUAACCUUUAUUUUAACAGAAAAAGUCCCAUUGUGACACCAUAUUUUUUUACAAGGAGGUCCUGAGAGCUCAAUGCACUGCAACUUAAAGGGAUACUUUGUAGUACCCUCACCGCCUGAUGAGGGAAGAUAAAAGUAUAAAUAAUACACAGGACACGGAGCCGCUGCUGCUUCAAUCAUCAGAGUCUGUGUAUUGUUUUUUAACCAUUUAAAACAGUUCAAAUACAUUUAUAUGUCAAUAAAUGACAGAGCAUCACUUCA